RNAcentral lists this ribosomal RNA (459 nucleotides) under uncultured bacterium. Its description in RNAcentral is "partial 16S ribosomal RNA". It matches the Rfam family "Bacterial small subunit ribosomal RNA", at positions 338 to 795 of the family's 1533-position model. The record is from RNAcentral.
CCUACGGGGCGCAGCAGUGAGGAAUAUUGGUCAAUGGUCGGGAGACUGAACCAGCCAAGCCGCGUGAGGGAUGAAGGUACAGAGUAUCGUAAACCUCUUUUGUCAGGGAACAAAGGCGGGGACGUGUCCCCGGAUGAGUGUACCUGAAGAAAAAGCAUCGGCUAACUCCGUGCCAGCAGCCGCGGUAAUACGGAGGAUGUGAGCGUUAUCCGGAUUGAUUGGGGUUAAAGGGUGCGCAGGCGGUCUGUUAAGUCAGCGGUCAAAGCCCGGGGCUCAACCCCGGCCCGCCGUUGAAACUGGCAGUCUCGAGUUGGAGAGAAGUAUGCGGAAUGCGCGGUGUAGCGGUGAAAUGCAUAGAUAUCGCGCAGAACUCCGAUUGCGAAGGCAGCAUGCCGGCUCCACACUGACGCUGAGGCACGAAAGCGUGGGUAUCGAACAGGAUUAGAUACCCUUGUAGUC